UACGGGGGGGGCAAGCGUUAUUCGGAAUUACUGGGCGUAAAGGGUUCGUAGGUGGCUUGUUAAGUCAGACGUGAAAUCCCUCAGCUUAACUGGGGAACUGCGUCUGAGACUGGUGAGCUUGAGUGCAGGAGAGGAACGCGGAAUUCCAGGUGUAGCGGUGAAAUGCGUAGAUAUCUGGAGGAACACCGGUGGCGAAGGCGGCGUUCUGGACUGCAACUGACAUUGAUGAACGAAAGCUAGGGGAGCAAGCGGG
RNAcentral lists this ribosomal RNA (253 nucleotides) under uncultured bacterium. RNAcentral's name for it is "partial 16S ribosomal RNA". It matches the Rfam family "Bacterial small subunit ribosomal RNA", at positions 524 to 776 of the family's 1533-position model. The record is from RNAcentral.